Long non-coding RNA from Trachemys scripta elegans, 650 nucleotides. RefSeq lists it as uncharacterized. The transcript is spliced from 4 exons. The record is from RefSeq and is a predicted model, not a curated record. Lineage: Eukaryota; Metazoa; Chordata; Testudines; Emydidae.
CAAUUCAAAUUUACUUAACAGGGGUUAAUAGAUAGAAAAUGUUAAUAGACAGCUAAGUAUUAACCAUGGGCCUGCCUGCAGGCCUCCUCUUCUUGGAUAAGGGGUGCAACAGUUACAGCAAAGGUAUCCAGUCUUGAUCUGAAGAUAACAAGAGAUGGAGACAGUGCCACUUUCCUUGGAGACUGGAAAGCACUUCCUCAUCAGCAUCAUGGAGAAACAGCUGCCUUCCUUCCUGUCUGGGAGAAAUCCUAUCUACCCGUCUCCAAUGAAAUUAAGCAAGGUGUGAUCAAUAACAGGGGAAGCCUCAUUUUAUACAACUCAGCAGAGUGAUGGGAAGUCCACAGGAAGAGAAGAACAGCAUGAGGUCAUCCUGAGCCUUGGAACAAAACAGUAAGUUUGGGAAGAUAUAUGGAAAGAGGAGAAGUCAUCUUGGCAUCUAUUACUGGACAGACACAAGGAGCCAGAGCUUUUGCAAGCUGAGAAAGAUAGUCCUUCAACCAUGGGGUGUCUCCGGGAAUGGAAGAGUGGUAAGGACCUUGAACAAAGAUUGUAGCUUAUUAAGUUAGGUCUCAGCCAUUAGAAUGUGUAUUUUUACUUUUCUUUGUAACCCUUUCUAACUUCAUUCCUUCUACUUGGUAUCACUUAACCCU